CACUGAUCCAUCCUCUUCGACCUAAACAAAUUUAUAAAAUUUAAUUUCAAAGGAUCAGUUUUCUUGGCAAAAACUACUCCAGAAGAAGAAACCACAAUUGUUAACUAGUUAAUGAGGUACUCAGAACAUAAUAUGAUUUGUAUAGAAAAGAGGUAGAUUAAAAUUGCCAAGCUGCAAGCACAGUGAAAUCAAAUACAAGUUUAUAAGUACAACAAUGUUCUAUAUGAUUUGUACAGAUAAGAGGCACUUUGAAUUAAGAUCCAAUGUUAAACCAUACCCAGUACUCAGGAG
This 291-nucleotide unclassified non-coding RNA is filed under the name Hevea brasiliensis (rubber tree). The record is from RNAcentral. Lineage: Eukaryota; Viridiplantae; Streptophyta; Magnoliopsida; Malpighiales; Euphorbiaceae.